GGGAGUGACUUGGUUUCGACUGGAGUAGUCGGGGCUAUGUGCAUGUCGGACUGGGCAAUUCCGUUACGCGGCCCACUUAGCUUAAACGCAAACAAUACAGAUUAUCGUCCAGCUUACGCAGUAGCGUAAGUCAUUAACCCCGCUAACGCGGAGGACUGCCCUGCCGGUGAGUGUCAUCUUAACCGGAUCUUUGGGUAUCACAUCUGAUGACUAUGCUCCGUGGAAGCCAUGCCACGGUGUGAGAAUUCUGGCUGGUUUGGUGUAGUUUUGGGUGUUGAACGAAACCAAACGAGAACAAUCAACACCGACUAAGCAUGUAGAGUCAUAGUCCUAGCUAUUUUAGGACAGGGGUUCAAUUCCCCUCACUUCCACCA
Molecule: non-coding RNA, 374 nt
Organism: Sulfurovum sp. NBC37-1
Lineage: Bacteria; Pseudomonadati; Campylobacterota; Epsilonproteobacteria; Campylobacterales; Sulfurovaceae
Source: Rfam